This 207-nucleotide ribosomal RNA is filed under the name uncultured bacterium. RNAcentral describes it as "partial 16S ribosomal RNA". It matches the Rfam family "Bacterial small subunit ribosomal RNA", at positions 568 to 774 of the family's 1533-position model. The record is from RNAcentral.
UAUGUAGGCGGACUAAUCAGUCAGACGUGAAAUCCCGAGGCUCAACCUCGGAAUUGCGUUUGAUACUGUUAGUCUAGUAUCCCGGAGGGGUGAGGGGAAUUCCUAGUGUAGGGGUGAAAUUCGCAGAUAUUAGGAGGAACACCAGUGGCGUAGGCGCCUCACUGGACGGGUAUAGACGCUGAGAUACGAAAGCGUGGGGAGCAAACA